AGUCUGAUUCCAGAGGAACAAAGAGACAAAUACCAACGUGGAUUCUGGCAGAGGGGAACAAUGCAGGUGCCCAGUGAGUAAAACUGGGGCACAAGAGGAAGGUUUAAUUACCGGAAAAAGAUAGCAGCUCUUGGCCUGUUACUGGGCCUUGGUGGAAACUGAACAUUGGCUAUGGGUCAUCAAGUCACCAUGUAAACCUGAACUGCCUGUCAUGAACUGGGUGCUUUCUGACCCAUCUAGCCAUAAAGUGGGUGGUGCACAGCAGCAUUCCAUCAACAAAUGGAAGUGGUAUAUACGUAAUCGGGCUCGAGCAGGUCCUGAAGGCACAAGUAAGUUACAUAAGGAAGUGGCUCAAAUGCUCAUGGUCUCCACUCCUGCCACCCUGCCUUCUCUCCCUCAGCGUGCACCAAUGGCCUCAUGGGGAAUUCCCUAUGAUCAGUUGACAGAGGAAGAGAAGACUAGGGCCUGGUUCACAGAUGGUUCUGCAUGAUAUGCAAGCACCACCUGAAAGGGGACAGCUGCAGCACUACAACCCCUUUCUAGGACAUCCCUGAAGGACAGCGGUGAAGGGAAAUCUUCCCAGUGGGCAGAAUUUUGAGCAGUGCACCUGACUGUGCACUUUGCAUGGAAGGAGAAAUGACCAGAUGUGUGAUUUAUAUACUGAUUCAUGGGCUGUAGCCAAUGGUUUGGCUGGAUGGUCAUGGACUUGGAAGAAACAUGAUUGGAAAGUUGGUGACAAAGAAAUUUGCGGAAGAGGUGUGGAUGGACUUAUCAAGUGGUCAAAAACUGUGAAGAUAUUUGUAUCCCAUGUAAGUGCCCACCAACGGGUGACCUCAGCAGAGGAGGAUUUUAAUAAUCAAGUGAAUUGAUGACUGUUCUGUGAACACCAUUCAGCCGCUUUCCCCAGCCACCCCUGUCAUCGCCCAAUGGGCCCAUGAACAAAGUGGCCAUGGUGGCAGGGAUGGAGGUUAAGCAUGGGCUCAGCAACAUGGACUUCCACUUACCAAGACUGAUCUGGCUACGCCCACUGCUGACUGCCCAAUUUGCCAGCAGCAGAGACCAACACUGAGCCCUCAAUAUGGCACCAUUCCUCGGGGUAAUCAGCCAGCUACCUGGUGGCAGGUUAAUUGUAUUGGACCUCUUCCAUCAUGGAAAGGGCAGAGGUUUGUCUUCACUGGAAUAGACACUUACCCCAGAUGUGGGUUUGCCUAUUCUGCACGCAAUGCUUCUGCCAAGACUACCUUCCAUGGACUCACAGAAUGCCUUAUCCACCAUCAUGGUGUUCCACACAGCAUUGCCUCUGACCAAGGCACUCACUUUAUGGCUAAAGAAGUACAGCAACGUGCUCAUGCUCGUGGAAUUUACCGGUCUUACCAUGUUCCCCGACAUCCUGAAGCAGCUGGAAUGAUAGAACGAUGGAAUGGCCUUUUGAAGUCACAAUUACAAUGCCAACUACAUGACAAUACUUUGCAGGGCUGGGGCAAAGUUCUUCAGAAGGUCGUGUAUGCCCUGAAUCAACGUCCAGUAUACUGUACUGCUUCUCCCAUAGCCAGGAUUCAUGGAUCCAGGAAUCAAGGGGUGGAAGUGGAAGUGGCACCACUCACCAUUACCUCAAGUGAUCCACUAGCAAAAUUUGUGCCUCCUGUUCCCACAACAUGACAUUCUGCUGGCCUAGAGGUCUUAGUUCCAGAGGGAGGAACGCUGCCACCAGGAGAUACAACAACGAUUCCAUUAAACUGGAAAGUUACAAGUGCCACCUGGACACUUUGGGAUCCUCCUGUCUUUAAGUCAACAGGCUAAGGGAGUUAGUGUUGGCUGGGGUGAUUGACCCCGAUUAUCAAGAUGAAAUCAGUCUACUACUCCACAGCAAAGGCAAGGAAGAGUAUGCAUGGAAUACAGGAGAUCCAUUAGGAUGUCUCUUAGUAUUACCACGCCCUGUGAUUAAGGUCAAUGGGAAACUACAACAGCCCAAGCCAGGUAGGGCUACAAAUGGCCUAGACCCUUCAGGAAUGAAGGUUUGGUUCACUCCACCAGGAAAAAAAAAAAAAAACACGACCUGCCGAGAUGCUUGCUGAAGGCAAAGGGAAUACAGAAUGAGUAGUAGAAGAAGGUAGUCAUCAAUACCAGCUAUGACCACGUGAUCAGCUGCAGGAACAAGGACUGUAAUUGUCAUGAGUAUUUCCUCCUUCUUUUGUUAAAAACAUGUUUGUGCAUGUAUACACUUAUACUAAUUUUAUUUCACUUUAUUUCCUAUUUUCUUUACCAUGUGACGUAAGAUUUGUUGACCUCAUAUCAGCAUUUAAGUAUUGUUAAUUUUAUGUAAUAAUAUUUGGGUUGAUGAUUGGUGUGUUUCUGGUUGUAUGAAGGAUAGUUGUAUUAUGUUAGGCAUAACUAUGACCUUAUUAUUGUCUUUAUUUGAAGACUAUGUAUGAUCUCAGGAGAUGUGUGUGGGUUCAAGUUGACAAGGGGUGGACUUGUGAUGGUUAAUACUGAGUGUCAACUUGAUUGGAUUGAAAGGAUACAAAGUAUUGAUCCUGGGUGUGUCUGUGAGGGUGUUGCCAAGGAGAUUAACAUUCGAGUCAGUGGGCUGGGAAAGGCAGACCCACCCUUAAUCUGGGUGGGCACCAUCUAAUCAGCUGCCAGCACGGCUAGAAUAUAAAGUAGGCAGAAAAAUAUGAAAAGACUAGACUAGCCUAGCCUCCCGGACUACAUCUUUCUCCCAUGCUGGAUGCUUCCUCCCCUCAAACAUUGGACUUCAAGUUCUUCAGUUUUCGUACUCAGACUGGCUCUCCUUGCUCCUCAGCUUGCAGAUGGCCUAUUGUGGGACCUUGUGGUCAUGUGAGUUAAUACUUAAUAACUCAUAUAUAUAUAUGAAGGGGAUUUAUUACUUCAGACAGGCAACAAGAGACAACAGAAAGAAGCCCAGGAUUCAUGGUGAGCUGGUUCCCCAGGGCUCAGGAAAGCUGCCCAGGUGGAUGGAGUCUUCCACAAGUGCUUCACUUGCACAGCAGCUGAAGGUCACCCAAAAAGUGACCUACCUGGGUUUUAUACCCCAGGGAACAUGAGUUGCUGGGAUAAAGCAUUGAAGGACAUCCUGUUUCUAGGGGGGAGCUGGAGAGAAUUCAGGCUGUUCCAGUCAGUCCCUCCCUAUCUUGGGAUGUUGCACUCCCAGCACAUUCUACAGUUAUUCUUGAGAACUGCAAGCAAGAAAGAGGGAGAGAACUGGGCCAGUCCAAGGCCACCCAGAGAACUGUCCCGCAGGAUGGUGAAAGGUCUGGAAACUCUGCCAGGGAGGAAGGGGUGCUGGUCUGGAAAAGUGCAUGUGGGCCUUUUGGAGAGCCUGGUUCAGAAGCAUGGCUACUGGUAUUGCUUGGCUGAAGCACUGCUCUAUGGGAAGUUCACCCUCUUUGAAUAAGUGAGCCACUUCAGAAGCACCCCAAUCUACAGAACUAGCCUGGAAAAGGAAAAGGGAGAGUAUGGGAAACAUAAGACCUAACUUCAAAUCUUAGAAAGCCUGUUUUAUAGAAGUGAGAUUCACUGUGAGAAGUUCCAGAGAUCAGGCCUCAUGGUUAGAAGCUACAGGAAGACUUUACAAACUUUGAGCAGGGCAAGCGCCCAAGAGCUAGGCUGCCUGUGAGGUCCUGGACAUGUUCAACCAUCUAGAUUGUCAAAGAAUCAAUUGCAGGACUGGAAGCAGGGGAAGCUGGAGGAGAUGCCAGCUAGGUCCUCGCCUGCUCUGUGACAAUGAUUCAAAUGCAUCCAGGUGGUAGACACCCCACCUGCCAGGAACAGCUGUCAGUCUUGGAACCACUCAGUCAACACUUAUUUUGAGUUGGAUUUUCUGAUUAUUCUAGAACUCAUUUGGAUCUUGCCAUGAACCAAAUCAGCCCUUUUCACAUUAGCUGCAGUCCCUGGAGUAUUAAAAAUGCUGCCAAGCCUUAGGUUUUACCACUUACGGAGUAAGCCUUGAGUUCUAAUAAAACGAUGCUUAAAGCAGAUACAUACAUCUUUUUUUCUAUAUUCUAAACUGUUCAUAGUUUGCCACC
This 4046-nucleotide long non-coding RNA is filed under the name Homo sapiens (human). RNAcentral describes it as "non-protein coding lnc-NFE2L3-7:6". Lineage: Eukaryota; Metazoa; Chordata; Mammalia; Primates; Hominidae. The record is from RNAcentral.